This 190-nucleotide unclassified non-coding RNA is filed under the name Glomus sp. RNAcentral's name for it is "partial internal transcribed spacer 2". The record is from RNAcentral. Lineage: Eukaryota; Fungi; Glomeromycota; Glomeromycetes; Glomerales; Glomeraceae.
GUGAAUCAUCAAAUCUUUGAACGCAAAUUGCACUCUCUGCUAAGAGUAUGCGCGUUCCUGUGUCAGCCUAAAAAAAUUCGACGUCGUAGGUGUUUCGCGGUGACAUUCGUCGGAAAGUGGGUCAUCUUAAACCUAUGGGCUGUAAGCGGCUUAAAAUUUUCUUUACGAUUCUACGACCGUUUCUAAGAGU